This 253-nucleotide ribosomal RNA is filed under the name uncultured bacterium. RNAcentral describes it as "partial 16S ribosomal RNA". It matches the Rfam family "Bacterial small subunit ribosomal RNA", at positions 524 to 776 of the family's 1533-position model. The record is from RNAcentral.
UCCGUAGGGUGCAAGCGUUGUCCGGAAUUAUUGGGCGUAAAGAGCUCGUAGGCGGUCUGUUGCGUCGGCUGUGAAAACCCGGGGCUCACCUCCGGGCCUGCAGCCGAUACGGGCAGACUAGAGUUCGGCAGGGGAGACUGGAAUUCCUGGUGUAGCGGUGGAAUGCGCAGAUAUCAGGAGGAACACCUAUUGCGAAGGCAGCUCGCUGGGACGUAACUGACGCUGAGACGCGAAAGCGUGGGGAGCAAACAGG